RNAcentral lists this long non-coding RNA (815 nucleotides) under Salvia miltiorrhiza (redroot sage). RNAcentral's name for it is "long non-coding RNA (SMIL_LNC002949)". The record is from RNAcentral. Lineage: Eukaryota; Viridiplantae; Streptophyta; Magnoliopsida; Lamiales; Lamiaceae.
UUUUUCUAUUUUUCUCUUAAUUCGAAUUUCUCAAGAUUUCCCUAAUUUGACUAAGCCCUAAUUCGAAAUUCUACUUUUCCCCACAUUUUAGAACUGAAGCACUAAUUUCUCACACCAAAUCGUGCAGCUACUCCACGGCGAUCAGGGAAUUGGACGGUGCCGGCUCUGGGUUCGACGGAGCUAGAACUCGCGGAGGCUCUCUGAAUCGAUUCGAUGACGAAGCAGGCUCUUGAGCUUGCCACGAAGCAGGGGAACAUGGCACACGACAACAGACAGGCUCGCGUCAGCGCCGGCUCUGGGUUCGACAGGGCUGAAGCUCACGAAGACGCAGGCUCUACGUUCAUGACGAAAGCAGGCUCUUUAACUUGCGACGAAGCAGGGAAGCAAUGACCUAGUGAAUUGGAAUCGACGACAAUCAGGUUCGCAACGAUGUCGGCUCUGGGUUUAUUUUAGUUAUGGAGUUCAUUGAGUCGACGAUGGAGGACAUGUAUGUAUGUUUUCCAUUAGGGUUUCGUUCAUUUGGCAUAAGCAGUUAUGCUUGUAGAUGACGAUUGAGUCUAUUUUCUCUAUUUGCAGUGGUUGUUUUGCUAUGUUUAUUCAUCAUGGUGGGUAUUUUGUCGAGGUUGUGUCACAUGAAUGGGUGUUAUGUGGGUAGGUUUGACUGACAAGAACAUGAUUUCGAUUUAUUGAAAUUGAACGAAGCUGUUAAAUCAGUAGGGUAUGCAUCCUAGAGUAAAUUAUGGUAUAGAUUACCUAGGAACAACUAAUUUAUUUGGAUUGAAUCUGAAAAACAGUUAAAGGACUUGUUAAAGCUU